This 440-nucleotide ribosomal RNA is filed under the name uncultured bacterium. RNAcentral's name for it is "partial 16S ribosomal RNA". It matches the Rfam family "Bacterial small subunit ribosomal RNA", at positions 338 to 795 of the family's 1533-position model. The record is from RNAcentral.
CCUACGGGAGGCAGCAGUGGGGAAUAUUGCACAAUGGGGGAAACCCUGAUGCAGCGACGCCGCGUGAGUGAAGAAGUAAUUCGUUAUGUAAAGCUCUAUCAGCAGGGAAGAAAAUGACGGUACCUGAGUAAGAAUCACCGGCUAACUACGUGCCAGCAGCCGCGGUAAUACGUAGGGGGCAAGCGUUAUCCGGAUUUACUGGGUGUAACGGGAGCGUAGACGGCAGUGCAAGUCUGGAGUGAAAGGCGGGGGCUCAACCCCCGGACUGCUCUGGAAACUGUACGGCUGGAGUGCAGGAGAGGUAAAUGGAAUUCCUAGUGUAGCGGUGAAAUGCGUAGAUAUUAGGAGGAACACCAGUGGCGAAGGCGGCUUACUGGACUGUAACUGACGUUGAGGCUCGAAAGCGUGGGGAGCAAACAGGAUUAGAUACCCCAGUAGUC